GACGAACGCUGGCGGCGUGCCUAAUACAUGCAAGUCGAACGCUGAAGGAGGAGCUUGCUCUUCUGGAUGAGUUGCGAACGGGUGAGUAACGCGUAGGUAACCUGCCUGGUAGCGGGGGAUAACUAUUGGAAACGAUAGCUAAUACCGCAUAACAGUAGAUGUUGCAUGACAUUUGCUUAAAAGGUGCAAUUGCACCACUACCAGAUGGACCUGCGUUGUAUUAGCUAGUUGGUGGGGUAACGGCUCACCAAGGCGACGAUACAUAGCCGACCUGAGAGGGUGAUCGGCCACACUGGGACUGAGACACGGCCCAGACUCCUACGGGAGGCAGCAGUAGGGAAUCUUCGGCAAUGGACGGAAGUCUGACCGAGCAACGCCGCGUGAGUGAAGAAGGUUUUCGGAUCGUAAAGCUCUGUUGUAAGAGAAGAACGAGUGUGAGAGUGGAAAGUUCACACUGUGACGGUAUCUUACCAGAAAGGGACGGCUAACUACGUG
This 495-nucleotide ribosomal RNA is filed under the name uncultured bacterium. RNAcentral describes it as "partial 16S ribosomal RNA". It matches the Rfam family "Bacterial small subunit ribosomal RNA", at positions 28 to 507 of the family's 1533-position model. The record is from RNAcentral.